GAAGUGAACCUAGCGAACUCACGUGUAGCAAGACAGUUGAAUACCAAAUCCAGGUAGACUUUUAAAGGCGGUGAAACCGGUUUGUUCGGGAAUCAAAAAUACUAAUUCGAGCUGUGAGAAAAGAAAGCAUGCGAUCAGGGUUUUCGAUUAAAUUCUCAUCAAUUACUUGGAGUCCUUAAGUUCUUUCAACAUUGACAUGCUCGAACAUGGCGGAAGAUGACGAAUUUCACAAUAAGGAAGACGGCAACAAGAAAUUGUGGGGCAUUGUACUCUUCAGUUUGAUUGGCGCCACUGCAACCACUUUUGCGGUUGGACAACUAAGACAGUUUGGACGAACUGUUGACUGGAUUUCUGCCCAGAUGUCCAGGAUGCAAUCACAGAAAGGAGGAAGUGGUUCUUUUAGAUCGUCUUUCCAGGAGGAAGCACGUAGAAGGUACAGACAGCGGAUGCAAGAAGAAUAUGAAGAAGAGCUGGAGAGAGUGGAGCGUAUACGUCGUAUGCAAAGUGUGUUCAAUAGAGAGAGAAACAAGUAUAAAAGAAGCUAUGAGAGUUGGAGAGAGAAUGAGACUGGUGGGUAUAAUCAACAUUUUCAGAGGGAGGACUGGUAUUGGACAGCUGAGUCAUCCUUUAGAGAUCGGAAGGCAAACUAUAAACAGACGCCUCAACACAGUGGAUCUUAUUCUUUAUCUCGCCACUAUGCAGUCUUAGGCCUCGACAGGCUAAGAACAAAACCAUACACAGAUGAUGAGAUAAAGUCAGCCUUCAGGGCAAAGGCAUUGGAGUACCACCCUGAUCAGAACCAGGGUAAUAAAGAGGUUGCUGAAGAAAAAUUUAAAGAGGUAAUGAUGUCAUAUGAGGCUAUAAAAUCGGAAAGGAAGAUUGCAAAGUAGUAAACAAGUGGACAGAUCAAUGAGUAGUACACAAAUGUGUCUUGAAUACAUCCUUUGAGCUGUGUGGUUCAAGAGCAAGUGUUUUACUCUAGGAUGCUUCUUUCAUCGAUCGAUUCUGUCAGCUUCUCAAAGUGUGAGGGACUAACAUGUGAGCCCUUUGGCUUACCACAGGGUGUGACAAUAAAAACGAAAAUUUCAUAGAUGAUCCCUUUUAUGUAUAAAUCUACACUUGAGUAUAUAUGUAUAUUCUGGUGAUCAUCAAUGUUGUAGUGUUUAAGUGAACCAUCCUUAGGCUGUACCAUUUACCCAUUUGUUCAAAACAUCGACCGAAUCAUAGAGUAAAGACAGUUGGCGAUGUUUGAAGUUUUGCAGAAAACAUGCAGGUGAGAGACUUGGAUUCGAUGCUCAUCAAACUCACCUUGGAAGGAUUUCCCUUAUUUCCACCUCUCAAGGUGAGUGUUCACCUUACCAUU
RNA transcript from Chenopodium quinoa (quinoa), 1363 nucleotides. RefSeq lists it as uncharacterized. NCBI's taxonomy places the organism in Eukaryota, Viridiplantae, Streptophyta, Magnoliopsida, Caryophyllales, Amaranthaceae. The transcript is spliced from 8 exons. The record is from RefSeq and is a predicted model, not a curated record.